Molecule: transfer RNA, 91 nt
Filed under: Pandoraea sp. SD6-2
Lineage: Bacteria; Pseudomonadati; Pseudomonadota; Betaproteobacteria; Burkholderiales; Burkholderiaceae
Description: tRNA-Leu
Rfam family: tRNA
About the family: Transfer RNA (tRNA) molecules are approximately 80 nucleotides in length. Their secondary structure includes four short double-helical elements and three loops (D, anti-codon, and T loops).
Source: RNAcentral
ACCCGAGUGGUAAAAUUGGUAGACACAGCAGACUUAAAAUCUGCUGCGCCUUUCUCGGCGCGUGCCGUUUCGAGCCCGGUCUCGGGUACCA